CAGUAGCCGCGGUAAGACAGAGGAUGCAAGCGUUAUCCGGAAUGAUUGGGCGUAAAGCGUGCGCAGGUGGUUCGUUAAGUCCGAUGUGAAAGCCCUGGGCUCAACCUGGGAAUUGCAUUGGAUACUGGCGAGCUAGAGUGCGGUAGAGGGUAGUGGAAUUCCCGGUGUAGCAGUGAAAUGCGUAGAGAUCGGGAGGAACAUCUGUGGCGAAGGCGACUGCCUGGACCAGCACUGACACUGAGGUGCGAAAGCGUGGGGAGCAAACAGGAUUAGAUACCCCUGUAGUCCCUGUCUCUUAUAC
RNAcentral lists this ribosomal RNA (301 nucleotides) under uncultured bacterium. Its description in RNAcentral is "partial 16S ribosomal RNA". It matches the Rfam family "Bacterial small subunit ribosomal RNA", at positions 509 to 807 of the family's 1533-position model. The record is from RNAcentral.